This 76-nucleotide transfer RNA is filed under the name Actinomycetota bacterium. Its description in RNAcentral is "tRNA-Leu". It matches the Rfam family "tRNA". Rfam says of the family: Transfer RNA (tRNA) molecules are approximately 80 nucleotides in length. Lineage: Bacteria; Bacillati; Actinomycetota. The record is from RNAcentral.
GGGGCCGUAGCCCAAUGGCAGAGGCACACGGUUUAGGUCCGUGCCAGUGAGGGUUCGACUCCCUCCGGCCCCACCA